RNAcentral lists this ribosomal RNA (254 nucleotides) under uncultured bacterium. RNAcentral's name for it is "partial 16S ribosomal RNA". It matches the Rfam family "Bacterial small subunit ribosomal RNA", at positions 524 to 776 of the family's 1533-position model. The record is from RNAcentral.
GACGAACCGUGCGAACGUUGUUCGGAAUCACUGGGCUUAAAGGGCGCGUAGGCGGGCUGCCAAGUCCGGGGUGAAAUCUUUCGGCUUAACCGGAAAAGUGCCUUGGAUACUGGCGGUCUAGAGGGAGGUAGGGGCAUGUGGAACUUCCGGUGGAGCGGUGAAAUGCGUUGAUAUCGGAAGGAACGCCGGUGGCGAAAGCGACGUGCUGGAUCUCUUCUGACGCUGAGUGCGCGAAAGCUAGGGGAGCGAACGGG